UACGAAGGGGGCUAGCGUUGCUCGGAAUCACUGGGCGUAAAGGGUGCGUAGGCGGGUUUUUAAGUCAGGGGUGAAAUCCUGGAGCUCAACUCCAGAACUGCCUUUGAUACUGAAGAUCUUGAGUUCGGGAGAGGUGAGUGGAACUGCGAGUGUAGAGGUGAAAUUCGUAGAUAUUCGGAAGAACACCAGUGGCGAAGGCGACUCACUGGACACGUAUUGACGCUGAGGUGCGAAAGCGUGGGGAGCAAACAGG
Molecule: ribosomal RNA, 253 nt
Filed under: uncultured bacterium
Lineage: Bacteria
Description: partial 16S ribosomal RNA
Rfam family: Bacterial small subunit ribosomal RNA
Source: RNAcentral